GAAAGAGAAGAAAGGAUCUACCAGGUGGCUGCAUCUUGAAAAACAGGCCUUGUCUUCCUGUCCCAUUUUGCAGCAGUCGUGUGUGUGGGAGAAAUACAGCUGUGGGACGCCUGAUGAACAGAGGUGCUUGAACAACUGGCCUUCAGCUCUGUCACCUUUUUUGGUGGUUGCAAAAAAAACCAAAACAAAA
Molecule: long non-coding RNA, 190 nt
Organism: Melozone crissalis (California towhee)
Lineage: Eukaryota; Metazoa; Chordata; Aves; Passeriformes; Passerellidae
Exons: 2
Source: RefSeq, a predicted model, not a curated record